GUAUCAAGGAAUGUUAAUUAAUUAUAUGAGUAUUGCUUUAAUUCAACUAGCUAGUAGUUUUCUUCUACUUAUUGAUUAAAGGAUAUUCAUUAUUUUAUUCUUUCAUUUUAAAUAGUGAUGCUUCUAAUGAAUAAGAUUUUCAAUUCGUAUUUGGACUGUUCUUGUCAAUAGAAAAAGUAUGUCGAUUUGUCUUAUGAACUAGUGAGUUUUCUCAACCCCAAUCUUGGGUCAUGAUAUUUCUCCUAUUUUGGGCCGGGUAUAUUGGGCCCAUUUAUCAGUUUAAUCUGUUGGGCUUUUAUAAUUAAGCCAUGGGGCUCGUUGAGCCCAUUUAUUGUGUCAACUUUAUUUAAUCCUAUUGGACCGGGUUGGUUCGUUGGAUUAACCCAUUGGGUCAUUUAAUAUCUAUUACUUUGACUUGUAAUGAUGAUAUAGUAUGACAGUUGACCAAGAUAUCUGCCAUGCAUUAAUGUGGAUGGGAUUAUAGCCGGCCGGCGGCGCAAACAGUGGCCAAGAGCAGUGGAUAAACUCCAUGUAGUCGGUCGAACCCAUCAGAUCAUGGGGAUAUGUCAGGUGGUAGUGGGUGGCAUAGUAAUCCAGGCAAAGACAUUAUUUCUUAGUGAGUAAGUCUUCACAAGGAGGUACGUUUUAUUCAUAUAUACACAUUCACACAACAUAUAGAAAAUGAUCACUCUCAAUACGCUAAAUUCUAUUAUCCUCUUGAGUUAACUUUGUGAACAGACAUACUUACUCUCACGCCUGAGCUAUCCCUCGGCGGUCCGGCCGUCAAGCUUGUGGUGUUUGUCGUGUUUACUGUGCAGGAUCAGGACGUCUUUCGUGAUUGGGACGUGGAGAAAGAUCUUGGCGUUAACAUUGGCGCUAGAAGGAGGGGCGUUUUAGUGUCUUGAGUAUUUUUCAAUCACAGAGUGUGUUUUAUUCUAUUCAUUUUUCAUGGAAAAGAGUAGAACACCUACACCCGAAGGACAACCGAUGUCUGUCAGUGAGUCAUUACCGUGGGUAUCUGUCAAGGAUCAUUUGGGACCAACCCUAAGUGUGCAUGCUAGCACGGCGUCUAAACGGUCACCUGAACAUUCUCGACCGAAGGCAGUAGGCAAAGCAAAGCGUAAGCUAGUAUACCCGACGGAGAAGGGGUCUGGCCAUGGUC
Molecule: long non-coding RNA, 1162 nt
Filed under: Panax ginseng (ginseng)
Lineage: Eukaryota; Viridiplantae; Streptophyta; Magnoliopsida; Apiales; Araliaceae
Description: long non-coding RNA (PGIN_LNC010959)
Source: RNAcentral